GGGGAAUAUUGCACAAUGGGCGAAAGCCUGAUGCAGCAACGCCGCGUGAGUGAUGAAGGUCUUCGGAUUGUAAAGCUCUGUCUUUUGGGACGAUAAUGACGGUACCAAAGGAGGAAGCCACGGCUAACUACGUGCCAGCAGCCGCGGUAAUACGUAGGUGGCGAGCGUUGUCCGGAUUUACUGGGCGUAAAGGGUGCGUAGGCGGAUGUUUAAGUGAGAUGUGAAAUACCCGGGCUUAACUUGGGUGCUGCAUUUCAAACUGGAUAUCUAGAGUGCAGGAGAGGAGAAUGGAAUUCCUAGUGUAGCGGUGAAAUGCGUAGAGAUUAGGAAGAACACCAGUGGCGAAGGCGAUUCUCUGGACUGUAACUGACGCUGAGGCACGAAAAGCGUGGGUAGCAAACAGGAUUAGAUACCCUGGUAGUCCACGCCGUAAAACGAUGAGUACUAGGUGUAGGAGGUAUCGACCCCUUCUGUGCCGCAGUAAAACACA
RNAcentral lists this ribosomal RNA (490 nucleotides) under uncultured bacterium. RNAcentral describes it as "partial 16S ribosomal RNA". It matches the Rfam family "Bacterial small subunit ribosomal RNA", at positions 356 to 859 of the family's 1533-position model. The record is from RNAcentral.